GCACCCAUCGUAUAACGGUUAGUAUAUCUGACUUCCAAUCAGAUGGUGUGGUUUCAAUUACCACUGGGUGCCCCA
RNAcentral lists this transfer RNA (75 nucleotides) under Caudoviricetes sp. RNAcentral's name for it is "tRNA-Gly". It matches the Rfam family "tRNA". From Rfam's summary of the family: Transfer RNA (tRNA) molecules are approximately 80 nucleotides in length. The record is from RNAcentral. Lineage: Duplodnaviria; Heunggongvirae; Uroviricota; Caudoviricetes.